Molecule: ribosomal RNA, 407 nt
Filed under: uncultured bacterium
Lineage: Bacteria
Description: partial 16S ribosomal RNA
Rfam family: Bacterial small subunit ribosomal RNA
Source: RNAcentral
GACGAACGCUGGCGGCGCGCUUAACACAUGCAAGUCGAGCGAAGCGGCGGACUGGUGAGUAACACGUUAGUAACCUGCCUUAGACAUUGGGAUAGCCUCGGUAAACCGGGAUUAAUACCAAAUGGGCUAAGAUGGUCUCGCGUCCCAUUAGCUAGUUGGUGAGGUAACGGGCCACCAAGGCGACGAUGGGCAGCCGGCAUGUGAGGGUGCACCGAGACAUUGGCGCUGAGCAGCGGUCCGGACUCUCCGCGAGGGAGCAGUGGCGAAUAUUGCACAAUGGAGGGAGCUCUGAUGCUGCUAGGCUCCGUGAACUAAGAAGGCUUUCGAGUCGUAAAGUUCUUUUAUAUGGGCAGCGGUACCAAAAGAAAAAGCCCCGGCUAACUACGUGCCAGCAGCCGCGGUAAUUC